GCAGUUACCUGACAUGCACUGUGGCGAUUUCUGUGUCAUUUUCAUUGUGGGCAACCCACCUGGCAGGUCUCACCCCAGUCAGUCUCUGAGCGCUGAGAAGGGUAGAGCCGGGAGGGAGCAUCUUUCACCCCUAGAGGCUACGGACCCUGUGGAACUUCCCUUGAGAGCCAUAGGCCACCUGCUCUCCAUUGGGACGGCUUCUCGGUUAAGGAGAGCGACCGGGGCAGCACUUAAUGAGAGGAAGAGUCCAAAUAGUUUGACAGACUAUAUACAGGGAUCACUUCAUUCUGUAACCUGAACAGUUCCCAAGUAUUCCUUUGUGCUGUGUGAAGACCCCCACCUUCCACCCCAGAGAUGGCUGCAAUGCUGCGGUGGUGAAGCACUUGGUCAAGCAAAGAAGACUGCAUUUGUCCCCAACUCCCCCAGAAUAUUACUCUGACAUCAAAGAUGCAUGAAGAUAGCUCUGAAAUGGAUCAUUUUAUCCACAAAAUUACAAGACAUUUCCUCACAAUAGGAGGGACUCCAAACAGCCACCCAAGCAGAGGACCCUGGGAUUCACCAGUGUGUCUGCAACACAAAACAAAUCAGAGCUCCAGCUUUCUUCCCUCUCACCUUGUGUCAUCCAUGAAUGAGGGAGUCUUGUGAGGAUGAAGUCAAGGAAGAUAUUCAUAGGCCUCAAGAAGGAAUCCAGAGCCUUUGAACGCUGACUCCUCUUUGCAAGUGUUAAUUUCACCUUGAGCAAGACUCACUUUUACACUGAUCAGUGACACAUGGAACAUCCUGGGCACUUUUCCUCAGACUGUUGUUUAAACUCUAUAGUAGUGGUAACUGUAGAUUAAGGAAGCCACUUUCCCUCUUCUGGAAGGGGAAUGGACUGCCAGUAAGGAGAGUGAAAUUGGCCUGAACUUAUCACUGCAAGGUGAGAUACUGCUC
Molecule: long non-coding RNA, 933 nt
Organism: Mauremys reevesii (Reeves's turtle)
Lineage: Eukaryota; Metazoa; Chordata; Testudines; Geoemydidae
Exons: 4
Source: RefSeq, a predicted model, not a curated record